RNAcentral lists this ribosomal RNA (207 nucleotides) under uncultured bacterium. RNAcentral describes it as "partial 16S ribosomal RNA". It matches the Rfam family "Bacterial small subunit ribosomal RNA", at positions 568 to 774 of the family's 1533-position model. The record is from RNAcentral.
CGCGUAGGCGGCCUGCUAAGUCUGAAGUGAAAGUCCUGCUUUCAAGGUGGGAAGUGCUUUGGAUACUGGUGGGCUGGAGUGCAGGAGAGGAAAGCGGAAUUACCGGUGUAGCGGUGAAAUGCGUAGAGAUCGGUAGGAACACCAGUGGCGAAGGCGAGUCCCUGGAAAACUCCUGACACUGAGGCACGAAAGCUAGGGGAGCAAACA